This 106-nucleotide non-coding RNA is filed under the name Helicotheca tamesis. Lineage: Eukaryota; Bacillariophyta; Thalassiosirophyceae; Lithodesmiales; Lithodesmiaceae. The record is from RNAcentral.
AGGAGCCUGUCUGCCCCCCAAUCACCAAAGGCAAAGCAAUCAGAUUAUCCACUGUCUCUCAAGAACAACCAUGAUCCGCACCACUACUACUCUUCUUCUUUUUGCC